CCCUUUGUGACAUACCUACAACUGUUGCUUCGGCGGGUAGGGUCUCCGCGACCCUCCCGGCCUCCCGCCUCCGGGCGGGUCGGCGCCCGCCGGAGGAUAACCAAACUCUGAUUUAACGACGUUUCUUCUGAGUGGUACAAGCAAAUAAUCAAAACUUUUAACAACGGAUCUCUUGGUUCUGGCAUCGAUGAAGAACGCAGCGAAAUGCGAUAAGUAAUGUGAAUUGCAGAAUUCAGUGAAUCAUCGAAUCUUUGAACGCACAUUGCGCCCGCCAGCAUUCUGGCGGGCAUGCCUGUUCGAGCGUCAUUUCAACCCUCAAGCUCUGCUUGGUGUUGGGGCCCUACAGCCGAUGUAGGCCCUCAAAGGUAGUGGCGGACCCUCCCGGAGCCUCCUUUGCGUAGUAACUUUACGUCUCGCACUGGGAUCCGGAGGGACUCUUGCCGUAAAACCCCCCAAUUUUCCAAAGGUUGACCUCGGAUCAGGUAGGAAUACCCGCUGAACUUAAGCAUAUCAAUA
Molecule: ribosomal RNA, 516 nt
Filed under: Colletotrichum gloeosporioides
Lineage: Eukaryota; Fungi; Ascomycota; Sordariomycetes; Glomerellales; Glomerellaceae
Description: eukaryotic LSU rRNA
Rfam family: 5.8S ribosomal RNA (bases 153-306)
Source: RNAcentral